UAAGGAAUAUUGCUCAAUGGGAGAAAUCCUGAAGCAGCAACGCCGCGUGGAGGAUGAAGGGUUUUUAACUUGUAAACUCCUGUAAAGAAGGAAAAAAUUCCCAUUAGAUGGGAAAUGAUGGUACUUCUGGAGUAAGCCCCGGCUAACUACGUGCCAGCAGCCGCGGUAAUACGUAGGGGGCAAGCGUUGUCCGGAUUUACUGGGUGUAAAGGGUGCUCAGGCGGAUUUGUAAGUCAGAGGUGAAAUCUCACAGCUUAACUGUGAAACUGCCUUUGAUACUGCAAGCCUAGAGUAUGGAAGAGAGUGAUGGAAUAUCUGGUGUAGCAGUGAAAUGCGUAGAUAUCAGAUAGAACACCAAUGGCGAAGGCAGUCACUUGGUCCAUAACUGACGCUAAAGCACGAAAGCGUGGGUAGCAAACAGGAUUAGAUACCCUGGUAGUCCACGCCCUAAACGAUGAAUACUAGAUGUUGGCUUCGCAUGAAGUCAGUAUCUGAGCUAACGCAUUAAGUAUUCCACCUGGAAGUACGAUCGCAAGGUUGAAACUUAAAGGAAUUGACGGGGUCAUA
This 567-nucleotide ribosomal RNA is filed under the name uncultured bacterium. Its description in RNAcentral is "partial 16S ribosomal RNA". It matches the Rfam family "Bacterial small subunit ribosomal RNA", at positions 355 to 923 of the family's 1533-position model. The record is from RNAcentral.